This 71-nucleotide transfer RNA is filed under the name Palaestes freyreissi. Its description in RNAcentral is "tRNA-Lys". Lineage: Eukaryota; Metazoa; Arthropoda; Insecta; Coleoptera; Cucujidae. The record is from RNAcentral.
CAUUAGAUGGCUGAAAGUAAGCUCUGGUCUCUUAAACCAUUUCAUAGUAAAUUAACACAUACUUCUAAUGA